RNAcentral lists this unclassified non-coding RNA (378 nucleotides) under plant metagenome. RNAcentral describes it as "partial contains 5.8S ribosomal RNA, internal transcribed spacer 2, and large subunit ribosomal RNA". The stretch from base 1 to 105 matches the Rfam family "5.8S ribosomal RNA", at positions 50 to 154 of the family's 154-position model. The record is from RNAcentral.
GAAAUGCGAUAAGUAAUGUGAAUUGCAGAAUUCAGUGAAUCAUCGAAUCUUUGAACGCAGCUUGCGCUCCUUGGUAUUCCUUGGAGCAUGCCUGUUUGAGUAUCAUGAAAUCUUCAAAGUAAAUCUUUUGUUAACUCAAUUGGUUUCUACUUUGGUAUUGGAGGUCUUUGCAGCUUCACACCUGCUCCUCUUUGUUCAUUAGCUGGAUCUCAGUGUUAUGCUUGGUUCCACUCGGCGUGAUAAGUUAUCUAUCGCUGAGGACACUGUAAAAGGUGGCCAAGGUAAAUGCAGAUGAACCGCUUCUAAUAGUCCAUUGACUUGGACAAUACUUUUAUGAUCUGAUCUCAAAUCAGGUAGGAUUACCCGCUGAACUUAAGC